ACGAACGCUGGCGGCGUGCUUAACACAUGCAAGUCGCACGAUGAAGCCUAGCUUGCUAGGUGGAUUAGUGGCGAACGGGUGAGUAAUACGUGAGUAACCUACCUUUAACUCUGGGAUAAGCCUGGGAAACUGGGUCUAAUACCGGAUACGACCAAUCUCCGCAUGGGGUGUUGGUGGAAAGCGUUAUGUAGUGGUUAUAGAUGGGCUCACGGCCUAUCAGCUUGUUGGUGAGGUAACGGCUCACCAAGGCGACGACGGGUAGCCGGCCUGAGAGGGUGACCGGCCACACUGGGACUGAGACACGGCCCAGACUCCUACGGGAGGCAGCAGUGGGGAAUAUUGCACAAUGGGCGCAAGCCUGAUGCAGCGACGCCGCGUGAGGGAUGACGGCCUUCGGGUUGUAAACCUCUGUUAGCAGGGAAGAAGAGAAAUUGACGGUACCUGCAGAGAAAGCGCCGGCUAACUACGUG
Molecule: ribosomal RNA, 470 nt
Filed under: uncultured bacterium
Lineage: Bacteria
Description: partial 16S ribosomal RNA
Rfam family: Bacterial small subunit ribosomal RNA
Source: RNAcentral